UCAUUCAUAGCAUCGAGCCACUUUUGAGAGUUAGAACUUUCCAUGGCUUGACGGAAGUUGAUCGGAUCAUCUUCCACCAUUCCAAUGUCAACUUCAUGUUCUUGAAGAAAUACGAUGUAAUCAUUCGAAACCGCACUUCUCCUCUCUCUAGUGGAUCUUCUUAAUGGCACUGGUUCUUGAGGGUGUAGAGUUUGUUCUUCUGGAACAAUUUGUUGAUCUUGAGAGGGAGGUAUGACAUUGUCUUGAUCCAGAGUUGCUUCUUGAACAAUGUCAGGGAUAGAAACCUGAUCAUUGUCAAUGGCAAUUGGAGGAAUUUCAACAUAUUCCUCCUCAAAGACAAAGCCUGUAACC
This 351-nucleotide long non-coding RNA is filed under the name Olea europaea (common olive). Its description in RNAcentral is "long non-coding RNA (OEUR_LNC000795)". The record is from RNAcentral. Lineage: Eukaryota; Viridiplantae; Streptophyta; Magnoliopsida; Lamiales; Oleaceae.